Molecule: ribosomal RNA, 655 nt
Filed under: Robillarda mangiferae
Lineage: Eukaryota; Fungi; Ascomycota; Sordariomycetes; Amphisphaeriales; Sporocadaceae
Description: SSU rRNA
Rfam family: Eukaryotic small subunit ribosomal RNA
Source: RNAcentral
UAAAAACCCCGACUCACGAAGGGGUGUAUUUAUUAGAUUAAAAACCAAUGCCCUUCGGGGCUCUUUGGUGAUUCAUAAUAACUUUUCGAAUCGCAUGGCCUUGCGCCGGCGAUGGUUCAUUCAAAUUUCUGCCCUAUCAACUUUCGAUGGCAGGGUCUUGGCCUGCCAUGGUUACAACGGGUAACGGAGGGUUAGGGCUCGACCCCGGAGAAGGAGCCUGAGAAACGGCUACUACAUCCAAGGAAGGCAGCAGGCGCGCAAAUUACCCAAUCCCGAUUCGGGGAGGUAGUGACAAUAAAUACUGAUACAGGGCUCUUUUGGGUCUUGUAAUUGGAAUGAGUACAAUUUAAAUCCCUUAACGAGGAACAAUUGGAGGGCAAGUCUGGUGCCAGCAGCCGCGGUAAUUCCAGCUCCAAUAGCGUAUAUUAAAGUUGUUGCAGUUAAAAAGCUCGUAGUUGAACCUUGGGCCUGGCUGGCCGGUCCGCCUCACCGCGUGCACUGGUUCGGCCGGGCCUUUCCCUCUGGGGAACCCUAUGGUCUUCACUGAUCGUAGCGGGGAACCAGGACUUUUACUGUGAAAAAAUUAGAGUGUUCAAAGCACGCCUAUGCUCGAAUACAUUAGCAUGGAAUAAUAAAAUAGGACGUGUGGUUCUAU